GGGGGCGUGAGGCUUCGACAGCAGAAGGCCUACAGAAUAGCAGGUCGAGGUGCCAUCUACCUCGUAAAACAGGUGGCAAAAGACAACUGCCGAAGCAGUUCCAAUUGCAGCCUAAUUAAGGCUGCACAUCCAACCUGACCUCACCCUGAUGGGUCGGGAUUGGGUGACGAAAAGUCGGGGUGCUCCAAUCUUGACGUCGAUGGAGGUUGGCUAAGUAUUAUCGACUGGCUUAGCUAUGCUUUGCCAGCGGAGGCUGGUUAGGUGAGAUAAAAAAACUGGCUAAACUUGUAGCAGAUUCUGGCAACCUUCUUCUGGACGGGGAGUUCAACCCUCCCCCGCCUCCACCA
Molecule: transfer-messenger RNA, 347 nt
Filed under: Dehalococcoidia
Lineage: Bacteria; Bacillati; Chloroflexota
Also listed under: 1 other name
Description: VGNY01 sp016865895 Standard tmRNA
Rfam family: transfer-messenger RNA
About the family: Bacterial tmRNA, also known as 10Sa RNA or SsrA, is named for its dual tRNA and mRNA-like properties.
Source: RNAcentral